GUGGGCGGAAGAGUUGGAGGUUUAUGAAGAGAGGACACAGCUGUGAGCAGUUGCCCACACCUGUAAUCCUAGCACUCUGGGACGCCAAGGUGGGCAGAUCACUUGAGGUCAGGAGUUCAAGACCAGCCUGACCAACAUAGUAUUUUUGUACUAAAAAUAUAAAAAUUAGCUGAGUGUGGUGGUACACACCUGUAAUACCAGCUCCUCAGGAGGCUGAGGCCAGAGGAUCGCUUGAGUCCAGGAAGCAGAGGUUGCAGUGAGCCAAGAUUACACCACUGCACUCCAGACUGGGGGACAUAGUGAAAUUCCAUCUCAAAAAAGAAAAAAGAAAAUCGGGCUGGGAGGACAAGGCGGGAAUAUUGCUUGAGCUCAGGAGUUCGAGACUAGCCUGGGCAACAUGGCGAGACCCCGUCUCUACUAAAAAUAGGAAAAAAUAGCCUGGCUUGGUGGUGGCUGCAGGUGCAAGCCACCAUACCCAGCUAAUUUUUUGUAUUUUUUGUAGAGAUGGGGUCUCACUAUGUUGCCCAGGCUGGCCUCAAUCUCCUGAGCUCCAGGAACCCUCCCAGUUUGGCCUCCCAAAGUGCUGGGAUUUCAGGAAUGAGCCACUGUGCUCGACCAAGUAUGUAUCAUUUCUGAACAGAAACUCCAAGAACCAGUGCAUUGUCCACCACAGGCUCUACCGUAAGACCAGCAAUAAGAUGCUUAAGAUGCUUUUGGCUGCAAGUAACAGGGCAAGACCCUGUUUUUUAAAAAAGGAAAGAAACAAAGAAAAGGAAGGAAGUUUUGAAAAAUAAAGGAAAAGGGAGGGGCAAUUUAUGGAGGAAUGAGACAGGAGGGGCCAGGACCAGAUACCGGCCCAAGUUAGGAAGAAAGAUCACUCAUCCCUCAUGACAGGGAGCAGGCAAGUGUGGGGCCAGGUAGGAGAUGAGGAAGGUCCACCCAGCAGCUUCUGUGAAGUAGAUGGCAAAGUAAUGCAUUUGGAGAGGGGCGGGGUGACAGGUAGUAGAUAUGAGGAAGCAGAGAAGGGUUGAAAAAGUCAGAGUGAAACUUUGAAGAGACAAGUGUUUGAAAAAGUAGUGAUGCCACAGAGAGGGGGCAGUUGAAAGAUCCUGGUGCCCCAGAUGAUUCAUCCCUUCCCCAACCCCAUGGACAACAAACACAAGAACGUUGACAGCUUCAUACGAUGGUAGCUUUGGGAAAUGGUGAUGGCAGAGCAGGCCCAUGGAGCCAGAGUUCUUCAACUUCGAGGGAAACUCAUCUUUCCUUUCCAUGGGUUUCAUCAAGGAUGCUUUUGGCUGCAAGUAAUAGAAAACCCUAACUCCUUUGGGAGGCCAAUGCGGGAGGAUCACGAGGUCAGGAGUUUUGAAUCCAAAAACUUAGCCGGGUAUGGUGGCGGAUGCCUGUAGUCCCAGCUAUUCAGGAGACUGAAGCAGGAGAAUGGCGUGAACCCAGGAGGUGGAGCUUGCAGUGAGCUGAGAUCACGCCACUGCACUCCAGCCUGGGCGACAGAGCGAGAUUCUGUCUCAAAAAAAAAAAAAAGAAAAGAAAAA
Macaca fascicularis (crab-eating macaque) is the source of this 1550-nucleotide long non-coding RNA. Lineage: Eukaryota; Metazoa; Chordata; Mammalia; Primates; Cercopithecidae. The record is from Ensembl.